AGAGUUUGAUCCUGGCUCAGAACGAACGCUGGCGGCAGGCUUAACACAUGCAAGUCGAACGGGCACCUUCGGGUGUCAGUGGCAGACGGGUGAGUAACACGUGGGAACGUGCCUUUCGGUUCGGGAUAACCCAGGGAAACUUGGGCUAAUACCGGAUACGCCCUUUGGGGGAAAGAUUUAUUGCCGAAAGAUCGGCCCGCGUCUGAUUAGCUAGUUGGUAGGGUAAUGGCCUACCAAGGCGACGAUCAGUAGCUGGUCUGAGAGGAUGAUCAGCCACACUGGGACUGAGACACGGCCCAGACUCCUACGGGAGGCAGCAGUGGGGAAUAUUGGACAAUGGGCGCAAGCCUGAUCCAGCCAUGCCGCGUGAGUGAUGAAGGCCCUAGGGUUGUAAAGCUCUUUCGGCGGGGACGAUAAUGACGGUACCCGCAGAAGAAGCCCCGGCUAACUUCGUGCCAGCAGCCGCGGUAAUACGAAGGGGGCUAGCGUUGUUCGGAAUCACUGGGCGUAAAGGGCGCGUAGGCGGCCGAUCAAGUCGGGGGUGAAAGCCUGUGGCUCAACCACAGAAUUGCCUUCGAUACUGUUUGGCUUGAGACCGGAAGAGGUAAGUGGAACUGCGAGUGUAGAGGUGAAAUUCGUAGAUAUUCGCAAGAACACCAGUGGCGAAGGCGGCUUACUGGUCCGGUUCUGACGCUGAGGCGCGAAAGCGUGGGGAGCAAACAGGAUUAGAUACCCUAGUAGUCC
RNAcentral lists this ribosomal RNA (744 nucleotides) under uncultured bacterium. RNAcentral describes it as "bacterial SSU rRNA". It matches the Rfam family "Bacterial small subunit ribosomal RNA", at positions 8 to 796 of the family's 1533-position model. The record is from RNAcentral.